RNAcentral lists this ribosomal RNA (338 nucleotides) under uncultured bacterium. RNAcentral's name for it is "partial 16S ribosomal RNA". It matches the Rfam family "Bacterial small subunit ribosomal RNA", at positions 338 to 673 of the family's 1533-position model. The record is from RNAcentral.
CCUACGGGGGUCAGCAGUGAGGAAUAUUGGUCAAUGGGCGCGAGCCUGAACCAGCCAAGUAGCGUGAAGGAUGACUGCCCUACGGGUUGUAAACUUCUUUUAUAAAGGAAUAAAGUCAGGCACGUGUGCCUUUCUGUAUGUACUUUAUGAAUAAGGAUCGGCUAACUCCGGUCCAGCAGCCGCGGUAAUCCGGGGGAUCCGAGCGGUAUCCGGAUUUUUUGGGUUUAAAGGGAGCGUAGAGGGGUUGUUAAGUCAGUUGUGAAAGGUUGCGGCUCAACCGUAAAAUUGCAAUUAAUACUGGCAGUCUUGAGGACAGUUGAGGUAGGCGGAAUUCGUGG